Calidris pygmaea (Spoon-billed sandpiper) is the source of this 407-nucleotide long non-coding RNA. NCBI's taxonomy places the organism in Eukaryota, Metazoa, Chordata, Aves, Charadriiformes, Scolopacidae. The record is from Ensembl.
AAUUAAUGUUUUUUUGACUUUUCUAGGCAAUGGGAAUCAAGAGGAUUUCCAUCUAUGUGAUGCAUAUCACAAAACCACCUUAUAGAUCAUUGUACUGAUCUCAGAAGGAGGAGAACUGGACCAUUAGCCCUUGGGGUCAUUUUGGAAGAGAAGAAUAUAACUUUAGAUCUUGAACUUGUGGAUCCUCCUCCAAUUUCUUCACUUCAAAGAAGCGAUAUUUCUGACAGACAAGAUGCCUAGUGAUUAUGUACUGAAGGAUCAAAAGCCACACUGGUGUUCCUAACCAAAUGGUUUCACUUUUGGAGCAUAAGGAAUUCAUGCAGGUGAGAGAUCAGAGCAGGUUAAUUUGAACACAGCAUGCUUCUCUCCAGCAGUCCUGCUUGCAGUGUUUCUUCUCAAAAAAUAAU